UGGGAAUAUUGGACAAUGGGCGAAAGCCUGAUCCAGCCAUGCCGCGUGUGUGAAGAAGGUCUUCGGAUUGUAAAAGCACUUUAAAGUUGGGAGGAAGGGCAGUAAGCUAAUACCUUGCUGUUUUGACGUUACCGACAGAAUAAGCACCGGCUAACUUCNUGCCAGCAGCCGCGGUAAUACGAAGGGUGCAAGCGUUAAUCGGAAUUACUGGGCGUAAAGCGCGCGUAGGUGUUCGUUAAGUUGGAUGUGAAAGCCCCGGGCUCAACCUGGGAACUGCAUCCAAAACUGGCGAGCUAGAGUAUGGUAGAGGGUGGUGGAAUUUCCUGUGUAGCGGUGAAACGCGUAGAUAUAGG
RNAcentral lists this ribosomal RNA (353 nucleotides) under uncultured bacterium. RNAcentral's name for it is "partial 16S ribosomal RNA". It matches the Rfam family "Bacterial small subunit ribosomal RNA", at positions 356 to 700 of the family's 1533-position model. The record is from RNAcentral.